RNAcentral lists this long non-coding RNA (306 nucleotides) under Salmo salar (Atlantic salmon). Its description in RNAcentral is "lncRNA (ENSSSAG00000091536.1)". The record is from RNAcentral. Lineage: Eukaryota; Metazoa; Chordata; Actinopteri; Salmoniformes; Salmonidae.
CUAUUAGACGGAGGAAACAGAUCUUGGUGAGGGGGACUAUUAGACGGAGGAAACAGAUCUUGGUGAGGGGGACUAUUAGGCGGAGGAAACAGAUCUUGGUGAGGGGGACUAUUAGACGGAGGAAACAGAUCUUGGUGAGGGGGAAACAGAUCUUGGUGAGGGGGACUAUUAGACGGAGGAAACAGAUCUUGGUGAGGGGGACUAUUAGACGGAGGAAACAGAUCUUGGUGAGGGGGACUAUUAGGCGGAGGAAACAGAUCUUGGUGAGGGGGACUAUUAGACGGAGGAAACAGAUAUUGAUGAGGG